AUCACUUAUGUCAUUCUGGGGAAAUACCAUUUCACCACCUAGCAAAAAGAAAAAAGAUAUCCAUCCAGCGCCGUCUUCGUCAAAUGAAACACGAAGUUUCCUAAAUGCAACUACGACAGAGCCUGCAAGGAUUGAAAUUAAUUUAACAGACAACAAAAAAGAAAGAGAAAAUCCGGCACAAGUUAGGAGU
This is a non-coding RNA of Hydra vulgaris (swiftwater hydra), 190 nucleotides long. NCBI's taxonomy places the organism in Eukaryota, Metazoa, Cnidaria, Hydrozoa, Anthoathecata, Hydridae. The record is from RefSeq and is a predicted model, not a curated record.